Molecule: non-coding RNA, 114 nt
Organism: Acanthosepion pharaonis
Lineage: Eukaryota; Metazoa; Mollusca; Cephalopoda; Sepiida; Sepiidae
Source: the annotation of a GenBank genome assembly
UUACGGCCAUAUCACGUUGCAACAUCGGUACUCGUAUGGUCACCGAAGUUAAGCAACGUCUAGCCUGAUCAAUACCUAGAUGGGUGACCGCUUGGAAAUACCAGGUGUUGUAAG